UACAGAGGUCCCAAGCGUUGUUCGGAUUCACUGGGCGUAAAGGGUGCGCAGGCGGCUGGUCAAGUCCGAUGUGAAAGCUCCCGGCUUAACUGGGAAAUUGCAUCGGAAACUGAUCGGCUGGAAGGUGGGAGAGGGUAGCGGAAUUCCCGGUGUAGUGGUGAAAUGCGUAGAUAUCGGGAGGAACACCAGUGGCGAAAGCGGCUACCUGGCCCAUUCUUGACGCUGAGGCGCGAAAGCUAGGGGAGCAAACGGG
This 253-nucleotide ribosomal RNA is filed under the name uncultured bacterium. RNAcentral's name for it is "partial 16S ribosomal RNA". It matches the Rfam family "Bacterial small subunit ribosomal RNA", at positions 524 to 776 of the family's 1533-position model. The record is from RNAcentral.